This 497-nucleotide ribosomal RNA is filed under the name uncultured bacterium. RNAcentral's name for it is "partial 16S ribosomal RNA". It matches the Rfam family "Bacterial small subunit ribosomal RNA", at positions 28 to 507 of the family's 1533-position model. The record is from RNAcentral.
GAUGAACGCUGGCGGCGUGCCUAAUACAUGCAAGUCGAGCGAACAGACGAGGAGCUUGCCCCUCUGAUGUUAGCGGCGGACGGGUGAGUAACACGUGGAUAACCUACCUAUAAGACUGGGAUAACUUCGGGAAACCGGAGCUAAUACCGGAUAACAUGUUGAACCGCAUGGUUCAACAGUGAAAGACGGUCUUGCCGUCACCUAUAGAUGGAUCCGCGCCGCAUUAGCUAGUUGGUAAGGUAACGGCUUACCAAGGCAACGAUGCGAAGCCGACCUGAGAGGGUAAUCGGCCACACUGGAACUGGGACACGGUCCAGACUCCUACGGGAGGCAGCAGUAGGGAAUCUGCCGCAAUGGGCGAAGGCCUGACAGGGCAACGCCGCGUGAGUGAAGAAGGUCUUCGGAUCGUAAAACUCUGUUAUUAGGGAGGAACAAAUGUGUGAGUAACUAUCCACGUCUUGACGGUACCUAAUCAGAAAGCCACGGCUAACUACGUG